GUAGUGGCAGUUGGGUGCUAAGAGUUCCACAAUGGCACAGGUUUGAGUUGCGUGGAAGGCAAAAUUCCCCUUUUAUUUUUAAGCGGACCAAAGCUUCAGCAGGUAAGGUUUAUAAUUAAUUGUAACCAUAUUUUAGCAAAGGAUAAAAUGUGGUGCAGUGGCCAGCAGCUUAGGUGAAGGCAUAAGGGCGCAAGGCGGACGGAGGUUUGGGGUUCGAGCUUCAUCUCGUGCACGCAAG
This 238-nucleotide long non-coding RNA is filed under the name Gossypium barbadense (sea-island cotton). RNAcentral describes it as "long non-coding RNA (GBAR_LNC001371)". The record is from RNAcentral. Lineage: Eukaryota; Viridiplantae; Streptophyta; Magnoliopsida; Malvales; Malvaceae.